This 465-nucleotide ribosomal RNA is filed under the name uncultured bacterium. RNAcentral's name for it is "partial 16S ribosomal RNA". It matches the Rfam family "Bacterial small subunit ribosomal RNA", at positions 28 to 507 of the family's 1533-position model. The record is from RNAcentral.
GACGAACGCUGGCGGCGUGCUUAACACAUGCAAGUCGAACGGUAAGGCCCCUUUGGGGGUACUCGAGUGGCGAACGGGUGAGUAACACGUGAGUAACCUGCCCUUGACUUCGGGAUAACUUCAGGAAACUGGGGCUAAUACCGGAUAGGAAUCCUUGCUGCAUGGUGGGGGUUGGAAAGCUUCGGCGGUUUUGGAUGGACUCGCGGCUUAUCAGCUUGUUGGUGGGGUAGUGGCUUACCAAGGCUGUGACGGGUAGCCGGCCUGAGAGGGCGACCGGCCACAUUGGGACUGAGAUACGGCCCAGACUCCUACGGGAGGCAGCAGUGGGGAAUAUUGCACAAUGGGCGGAAGCCUGAUGCAGCAACGCCGCGUGCGGGAUGACGGCCUUCGGGUUGUAAAACGCUUUCAGCAGGGGCGAAGCUUGUGGUGACGGUACCUGCAGAAGAAGCACCGGCUAACUACGUG